This 465-nucleotide ribosomal RNA is filed under the name Vreelandella stevensii. RNAcentral describes it as "partial 16S ribosomal RNA". It matches the Rfam family "Bacterial small subunit ribosomal RNA", at positions 338 to 795 of the family's 1533-position model. Lineage: Bacteria; Pseudomonadati; Pseudomonadota; Gammaproteobacteria; Oceanospirillales; Halomonadaceae. The record is from RNAcentral.
CCUACGGGGGGCUGCAGUGGGGAAUAUUGGACAAUGGGGGGAACCCUGAUCCAACCAUGCCGCGUGUGUGAAGAAGGCCCUCGGGUUGUAAAGCACUUUCAGUGAGGAAGAACGCCUGGUGGUUAAUACCCAUCAGGAAAGACAUCACUCACAGAAGAAGCACCGGCUAACUCCGUGCCAGCAGCCGCGGUAAUACGGAGGGUGCGAGCGUUAAUCGGAAUUACUGGGCGUAAAGCGCGCGUAGGUGGCUUGAUAAGCCGGUUGUGAAAGCCCCGGGCUCAACCUGGGAACGGCAUCCGGAACUGUCAAGCUAGAGUGCAGGAGAGGAAGGUAGAAUUCCCGGUGUAGCGGUGAAAUGCGUAGAGAUCGGGAGGAAUACCAGUGGCGAAGGCGGCCUUCUGGACUGACACUGACACUGAGGUGCGAAAGCGUGGGUAGCAAACAGGAUUAGAUACCCUAGUAGUC